This 465-nucleotide ribosomal RNA is filed under the name Vreelandella stevensii. RNAcentral's name for it is "partial 16S ribosomal RNA". It matches the Rfam family "Bacterial small subunit ribosomal RNA", at positions 338 to 795 of the family's 1533-position model. Lineage: Bacteria; Pseudomonadati; Pseudomonadota; Gammaproteobacteria; Oceanospirillales; Halomonadaceae. The record is from RNAcentral.
CCUACGGGGGGCUGCAGUGGGGAAUAUUGGACAAUGGGGGGAACCCUGAUCCAGCCAUGCCGCGUGUGUGAAGAAGGCCCUCGGGUUGUAAAGCACUUUCAGUGAGGAAGAACGCCUGGUGGUUAAUACCCAUCAGGAAAGACAUCACUCACAGAAGAAGCACCGGCUAACUCCGUGCCAGCAGCCGCGGUAAUACGGAGGGUGCGAGCGUUAAUCGGAAUUACUGGGAGUAAAGCGCGCGUAGGUGGCUUGAUAAGCCGGUUGUGAAAGCCCCGGGCUCAACCUGGGAACGGCAUCCGGAACUGUCAAGCUAGAGUGCAGGAGAGGAAGGUAGAAUUCCCGGUGUAGCGGUGAAAUGCGUAGAGAUCGGGAGGAAUACCAGUGGCGAAGGCGGCCUUCUGGACUGACACUGACACUGAGGUGCGAAAGCGUGGGUAGCAAACAGGAUUAGAUACCCCUGUAGUC